This 722-nucleotide ribosomal RNA is filed under the name uncultured beta proteobacterium. RNAcentral describes it as "bacterial SSU rRNA". It matches the Rfam family "Bacterial small subunit ribosomal RNA", at positions 71 to 797 of the family's 1533-position model. The record is from RNAcentral. Lineage: Bacteria; Pseudomonadati; Pseudomonadota; Betaproteobacteria.
GAAAGCACUUCGGGUGUUGAGUAGAGUGGCGGACGGGUGAGUAACGCGUGGGAAUCUACCCAGUAGUGGGGGACAACUACCGGAAACGGUAGCUAAUACCGCAUACGCCCUAUGGGGGAAAGGCUUCGGCCGCUAUUGGAUGAGCCCGCGUCAGAUUAGCUAGUUGGUAGGGUAAAGGCCUACCAAGGCAACGAUCUAUAGCUGGUCUGAGAGGACGACCAGCCACACUGGAACUGAGACACGGUCCAGACUCCUACGGGAGGCAGCAGUGGGGAAUUUUGGACAAUGGGCGAAAGCCUGAUCCAGCAAUACCGCGUGCAGGAAGAAGGCCCUCGGGUUGUAAACUGCUUUUGUACGGAACGAAACGGCGCGCUCUAAUAAAGUGCGCUAAUGACGGUACCGUAAGAAUAAGCACCGGCUAACUACGUGCCAGCAGCCGCGGUAAUACGUAGGGUGCGAGCGUUAAUCGGAAUUACUGGGCGUAAAGCGUGCGCAGGCGGUUUUGUAAGACAGGCGUGAAAUCCCCGGGCUCAACCUGGGAAUUGCGCUUGUGGCUGCAAGGCUAGAGUACGGUAGAGGGGGGUAGAAUUCCGCGUGUAGCAGUGAAAUGCGUAGAUAUGCGGAGGAACACCGAUGGCGAAGGCAGCCCCCUGGACCUGUACUGACGCUCAUGCACGAAAGCGUGGGGAGCAAACAGGAUUAGAUACCCUGGUAGAAGGGCG